This is a long non-coding RNA of Hemicordylus capensis (graceful crag lizard), 1600 nucleotides long. RefSeq lists it as uncharacterized. Lineage: Eukaryota; Metazoa; Chordata; Lepidosauria; Squamata; Cordylidae. The transcript is spliced from 3 exons. The record is from RefSeq and is a predicted model, not a curated record.
CAGAGUCACCCAGUGAGUUUCUUGGCUGAGUGGAGAUUUGAACUCAGGUCUCCCUGGUCCUAGUCCAACACUCUAACCACUACACCACACUGACUCUCAGUGUGCCCCUCAGAAAGAACCCAGUGCAUCCUCCAGAGUCAUUAUCACUUCACUUGGCAGUCCAUGACUUCAUUCAGAAUCCAUUUCACUUCCUUUUAACAGUGUUUACCUCAAGCACAUUGUGUGCUGUCCCCUUUAACUGUUAACAUGUGGAGUGAUUGUUGUACAGAAUACUUUUGUUUUCAGGAGCCAGUGGAGGCUGCUGUUGCAUGGAUAUGCCCAAUGGAUUAUUUGGCCCUGCUUAAAUCACAUCACAAUGAAAGCGUCAACAUCUCUGAGAAUAUGUGAGGCAGCUUGUCAUUUCUCCUCUUGAAGUCAGUCAGGAAAUACGCACAUUGUGUGCGGACCGGCACCCCUCCUAGAAGAAAAGAAAUAAUUGGACACACUGCAAAUAAAUGAACAUCUGCACAUGAAAAAAUUCAUAUAUUAGUUGAAUUGUAGCACUGUGGACCCAUCUGAACUGCCAAGGCACUUCAAAGCCCUGCAGGUCAUUUAUCAUCCUCCUGACGCUGCAAAUGUUCAGCCUCAGCUGAGUGCCAGAGAUUUGUUAUGACUUGAGAGCCGGCUGACAGGCAGGCCUGCCGCACUAAAAGGAUUCCUCUUUGUCACACUGCGAAAACAUCAAUGUUCCUAUAAUGGCCUACAACUGUCAAAGGGGACUGCCACCUGACAAUUGUGUGGUCUCACUAAUUUGCAGCCCAGCUACUUGUUUCUAUGAAUGUUUCGGCUCAAUUUUGGUGUCACAUACAAACAGCUCGCCAUCUGUUGUCCUCUGCCAGGGGACCCAGCAGGAAGCAGGGAUCACCACACUAUGGGAGAACAGGGCCAGGGAGUGAGACAAGGCAGUGGGUUAGGAGAGGAACAACCGGUCAAUGAAUGGACUAGAAAUGGCUGCACACGCACACAAGACACAUCUUGAUGGUCCCUGAAUGUGUUGGGGAUGUGUGCACUUCUUAAAAGUUGCAGUGAAAAUGGAUACGUGGGCGUGGGGGUGGGGGGAGAAAAGAACUUGCAAACAGCCAGAGAGAGAGAGAGAGAGGGAAGGAGAGAGGGAGAAAAUAUCAGGCUUUUGUUUCCUUUCCCAGGCCAUGACAUGAUUAAUCGUUUUCUUCUGAUCUAAUUUUGGAACAUGAAAAACAGCACAUUUGUCUUGAAGAAAAAUGAUGUGCCGUACUGUGCAGAUGGAAAUUUCGAGCAAUGAAAAAGAUUAAAGUGAAAUUCCACUCCUUAGACCUAAUCAUGAGUUGUAGAUUAUUCUGUCGUUCUAACCAGAUGGUAGGCUUGAUUCUGCAGCCCCCUUCUUAUAUUAAUGAAUUCUAGACUGUUAUAUUUGACUUAGGUAAGUGAAAUGUCUAUCAACCCUAAUGGACUGCCAGCCAGCAUAACACAUGUUGUACCACUGAGGGUCCUUGCUUCAUUUUUCAUGUUUUAUACUAAUGUAGAACAUUUUUGUUUCCUACUGUUUUCCAUCAUUGUCACUGUUUGCUAAAUAUUUUCACAU